This 424-nucleotide ribosomal RNA is filed under the name uncultured bacterium. Its description in RNAcentral is "bacterial SSU rRNA". It matches the Rfam family "Bacterial small subunit ribosomal RNA", at positions 356 to 771 of the family's 1533-position model. The record is from RNAcentral.
CGGGAAUUUUGGGCAAUGGGCGAAAGCCUGACCCAGCAACGCCGCGUGAGGGAUGAAGGCCUUCGGGUCGUAAACCUCUGUCGGGAGGGACGAAAGGCGCGCGGGUGAACAAUCCGCGUACUUGACGGUACCUCCAAAGGAAGCGCCGGCUAACUCCGUGCCAGCAGCCGCGGUAAUACGGAGGGCGCAAGCGUUGUUCGGAUUUACUGGGCGUAAAGGGCGCGUAGGCGGCGCGGUAAGUCAGCUGUGAAAUCUCCGAGCUUAACUCGGAACGGCCAGCUGAUACUGCAGUGCUAGAGUGCAGAAAGGGCAAUCGGAAUUCUUGGUGUAGCGGUGAAAUGCGUAGAUAUCAAGAGGAACACCUGAGGCGAAGGCGGGUUGCUAGGCUGACACUGACGCUGAGGCGCGAAAGCCAGGGGAGCAA